CGCGGGAAUCCGAAUGGGGCAACCCGGCUGGUAGAAGGCCAGACAUGCCGUAAGGCAGGCGAACACGCCGAACUGAAACAUAUAAGUAGGCGGAGGAAGAGAAAACAAGAGUGAUUCCGAGAGUAGUGGCGAGCGAAAUCGGAUCGGCCCAAACCGUUGUUGUUCCGGCAAUGACGGGGUUGUAGGACCACAAUGUUCUUUGCGCGACGAACCGGAAGCAGUUGGAAAGCUGCACGAUAUGGGUGACAGUCCCGUACGGGCAAGGAGCGUUAAAGAUAGUGGUAUCCUGAGUAGCGCGGGGCACGUGAAACCCUGUGUGAAUCCGGCGGGACCAUCCGCCAAGGCUAAAUACUCCUGGGAGACCGAUAGUGAACCAGUACCGUGAGGGAAAGGUGAAAAGAACCGUGAACAACGGAGUGAAACAGACCCUGAAACCAUACGCCUACAAGCGGUCGGAGUCCCGAUUUAUCGGGAUGACGGCGUGCCUUUUGCAUAAUGAGCCUACGAGUUACUUUUACCGGCAAGGUUAAGCACNNNNNNNNNNAAUGGAGGGCCGAACCCGUUGACGUUGAAAAGUCUUGGGAUGACCUGUGGGUAGGGGUGAAAGGCCAAUCAAGCUCGGAAAUAGCUCGUACUCCCCGAAAUGCAUUUAGGUGCAGCGUUCUGAUAGUUAUAUAGAGGUAGAGCUACUGAUUGGAUGCGGGGGCUUCACCGCCUACCAAUUCCUGACAAACUCCGAAUGCUAUAUAAUGUUUCAGGGCAGUGAGGGCAUGGGUGCUAAGGUCCAUGUCCGAGAGGGAAAGAACCCGGACCAUCAGCUAAGGUCCCCA
Molecule: ribosomal RNA, 830 nt
Filed under: Altererythrobacter sp.
Lineage: Bacteria; Pseudomonadati; Pseudomonadota; Alphaproteobacteria; Sphingomonadales; Erythrobacteraceae
Description: partial 23S ribosomal RNA
Rfam family: Bacterial large subunit ribosomal RNA
Source: RNAcentral